AGAGUUUGAUCCUGGCUCAGGAUGAACGCUAGCGACAGGCUUAACACAUGCAAGUCGAGGGGCAGCGGGGAGGUAGCAAUACUUCCGCCGGCGACCGGCGCACGGGUGAGUAACACGUAUGGAACCUGCCCGUAGCAGGGGGAUAAACGGAAGAAAUUCCGUCUAAUACCGCGUAAUAACUCCGAGAGGCAUCUCAUGGAGUUUAAAGGGUAACACCGGCUACGGAUGGCCAUGCGGCGCAUUAGCUAGUUGGCGGGGUAACGGCCCACCAAGGCGACGAUGCGUAGGGGUUCUGAGAGGAAGGUCCCCCACACUGGUACUGAGACACGGACCAGACUCCUACGGGAGGCAGCAGUGAGGAAUAUUGGUCAAUGGCCGGAAGGCUGAACCAGCCAAGUCGCGUGAGGGAAUAAGGCCCUACGGGUCGUAAACCUCUUUUGCCAGGGAGCAAUGCCGUCCACGUGUGGACGGAAGGAGAGUACCUGGAGAAAAAGCAUCGGCUAACUCCGUGCCAGCAGCCGCGGUAAUACGGAGGAUGCGAGCGUUAUCCGGAUUCAUUGGGUUUAAAGGGUGCGCAGGCGGCCUGUUAAGUCAGCGGUAAAAGCCCGGGGCUCAACCCCGGCGAGCCGUUGAAACUGGCGGGCUGGAGUUGGAGAGAAGUACGCGGAAUGCGCGGUGUAGCGGUGAAAUGCUUAGAUAUCGCGCAGAACCCCGAUUGCGAAGGCAGCGUACCGGCUCCACACUGACGCUGAGGCACGAAAGCGUGGGUAUCGAACAGGAUUAGAUACCCUGGUAGUCCACGCAGUAAACGAUGAAUGCUUGCUGUCCGGGCAGUGAUAUGCCUGGGGGGCGAAGCGAAAGCGAUAAGCAUUCCACCUGGGGAGUACGCCGGCAACGGUGAAACUCAAAGGAAUUGACGGGGGCCCGCACAAGCGGAGGAACAUGUGGUUUAAUUCGAUGAUACGCGAGGAACCUUACCCGGGCUUAAAUUGCACCUGAAUAAUGUGGAAACAUGUUAGCCGUAAGGCAGGUGUGAAGGUGCUGCAUGGUUGUCGUCAGCUCGUGCCGUGAGGUGUCGGCUUAAGUGCCAUAACGAGCGCAACCCUUAUCUUCAGUUACUAACAGGUCAUGCUGAGGACUCUGGAGAGACUGCCGUCGUAAGAUGUGAGGAAGGUGGGGAUGACGUCAAAUCAGCACGGCCCUUACGUCCGGGGCUACACACGUGUUACAAUGGGAGGUACAGAAGGCCGCUACCUGGCGACAGGAUGCCAAUCCCCAAAACCUCUCUCAGUUCGGAUCGAAGUCUGCAACCCGACUUCGUGAAGCUGGAUUCGCUAGUAAUCGCGCAUCAGCCAUGGCGCGGUGAAUACGUUCCCGGGCCUUGCACACACCGCCCGUCA
This 1400-nucleotide ribosomal RNA is filed under the name uncultured bacterium. RNAcentral describes it as "16S ribosomal RNA". It matches the Rfam family "Bacterial small subunit ribosomal RNA". The record is from RNAcentral.